UCUAACCGUGGAAAUAAUCUACCAUCAUGGACCUGAAACAGAUAAUCAGAACAAAAAUUUAGUAAAGAGUAAAUAUUAUCAAAGAAAAAAAAAAUAACAGGAUGUUUUCUGGUUCCUACUGCUUCAGUGCUGCUGUCCAAACACAGAUAGCUCUGUUCUUGGAGGAGCUCUGGGCUCCAGCAAGAGAUACUCGCUACUUAUGCUAGACAUCUGCUGUCCUCAAAGAACUGCUUAAAUCCUGGGUGUGGAAAUCAGAGAAAUGUCCAGCUCCUGCUUCACCAUGGCCAAGUGUAAGAACUCGGUGAGCUCAUUGUGGAACUCCACACAGCUCUUUUUAGAGGGGUCAAGUUCAGAGCAAGAAAUCCUGCUACACUUAUACAAGUAAUGGAUCAAAGUCAGACUAAUAGACCAAGGUCAGAAGUGAUUUCCUGAACCUCUGUCCUCACUCAUCCCUCUUCCUAAAUGCAGAGUCAAAUGCCACUGCUUUGCAGAGGAACUAGAGGAAAGCUUUUAGUUUUCAUUGUCUCUGUGAGCCUGAACAUUACUCCCUGCAACACGCUAAUCUCCAGUAUUGGAAAAGAACAGGAAACUGUGAGUUUAACAAAACCCAUCAACCUGAAACUACUUUGCAUCAAAAAAAUCUGAAUUUGGGACCUGUCCUUGAUUUUACAGUGUCCAUGAAGUUUUUUAGUUCAAUUAUCUUAGUCCUUUUGAAUGCUCUACUCCCCCUCACUCUGUGAAUCUGUGCAGAUCCCAGAAACUGAUGGUGGUUUGGUUGAUCCCAAACCACUAACGUGUUAGGACGAUUUUGCUAAAUGUACAGGGAAAUUGGUGAAAACAAUAAGCACAGAGUACUGACAGAUGAACUAAACAACCAACAUGACAUAGAAAACAAGCAGUUGUCCUUUGUGAAUUUUUUUUAUUAUUUUUUAACAGGCUUGGCUGGCAGAAGCAGUGGCCAUGAACCAUUCAGAUGAGGAUUUGAGUUCUAAGAAGAUAGAGCAUCUCUAACUUUCAUCACUGUACUGAGGAUUUUUCCUUAUGCAUAGAAAAGGCAACGUCAUUUAUCCUUGACUGAGAAUCACCGGUACAUUUCAACAAUGGAAUUAGCUAUUCACUGCAUUACAAUGACUUGCUUUCUGUAAUUUGCCAUUAAUAUGCUUCUACCUGAACAGUGCAAAAUGUGAAUUAAAUUGCCACAGGGAAAAAUAAUGAACCUGUUCUUUGAUUUAAUCUAAAAGCGGACAGUUAUAGUCUCUUUCCUCAUAAUAAUGUUCUUCCCUCUCUUCUCAAAAAUUUUACUUUAACUUGUCUAGGUUUUCUUUUCAAUUCAGGAUAAAGUGCAGCAUGUAAUGUGGCCUUC
Molecule: long non-coding RNA, 1363 nt
Filed under: Manacus vitellinus (golden-collared manakin)
Lineage: Eukaryota; Metazoa; Chordata; Aves; Passeriformes; Pipridae
Description: lncRNA (ENSMVIG00005013455.1)
Source: RNAcentral